AUGUUUUUAAUAUCCAAGAUAAUUGUUCAAGUUACAGUUCUGCAUGAGACUAUAAAACAAUCCAGAAAAACUGACAGCCUAGCAUGUCCAGCAAAAGAAGCAGAAAAAACCGCGAAACCAAUUCCAUUACCCUGCACAACAAAUAAACUGCAGCCCUGUACAUGGAAGACGUUAGCAAAUCAAAAAGUCAGGGAAGCACAGAAGAACAAUAAUGUUGAACCGGUAUUAAAUCAGAGUAAGGCACAACAGAAGAGAAAAUUCAGGGAACCGUGA
Non-coding RNA from Vicia faba (fava bean), 273 nucleotides. Lineage: Eukaryota; Viridiplantae; Streptophyta; Magnoliopsida; Fabales; Fabaceae. The record is from the annotation of a GenBank genome assembly.